This is a small nuclear RNA of Balaenoptera musculus (blue whale), 107 nucleotides long. The record is from Ensembl. Lineage: Eukaryota; Metazoa; Chordata; Mammalia; Artiodactyla; Balaenopteridae.
GUGCUCACUUCAGCAGCACAUAAGCUAGAAUUGGAACAAUACAGAGAAGAUUAGCAUGGUCCCUGCACAAAAAUAAUGUGCAAAUUUAUGAAGCGUUCUAUAUUUUU